GUCGACGUACUUCAUAGGAUCAUUUCUAUAGGUCACGUCCCACUUUGACUCUUCUAAAGAGCCACUGAAUCCAACUUGGUUGAUGAGUGAGAUACCCUUGUGCCCUCAAAGUGAGAAUAGAUUUAGCUUGUCCACGAUCCUUUGCGGUCUGGUCAUCUACAAUUUGUUUGCCUUUCACUUUAUCGCAAUGCCUUGUGCAGCGCGUUUUCGAAAGGAGCGAUGAUCUUGACCCUCUUCUAAAUGCUCUCUCGGGAGUCUUAGUUGGGGGUGGGCACAAGUGGCUGUCUGACAAGU
RNAcentral lists this small nucleolar RNA (294 nucleotides) under Clavispora lusitaniae ATCC 42720. RNAcentral's name for it is "Fungal small nucleolar RNA U3". It matches the Rfam family "Fungal small nucleolar RNA U3". From Rfam's summary of the family: Small nucleolar RNAs (snoRNAs) are involved in the processing and modification of rRNA in the nucleolus. There are two main classes of snoRNAs: the box C/D class, and the box H/ACA class. Lineage: Eukaryota; Fungi; Ascomycota; Pichiomycetes; Serinales; Metschnikowiaceae. The record is from Rfam by way of RNAcentral.